GACGAACGCUGGCGGCGUGCUUAACACAUGCAAGUCGAACGGAAAGGCCCUGCUUUUGUGGGGUGCUCGAGUGGCGAACGGGUGAGUAACACGUGAGUAACCUGCCCUUGACUUUGGGAUAACUUCAGGAAACUGGGGCUAAUACCGGAUAGGAGCUCCUGCUGCAUGGUGGGGGUUGGAAAGUUUCGGCGGUUGGGGAUGGACUCGCGGCUUAUCAGCUUGUUGGUGGGGUAGUGGCUUACCAAGGCUUUGACGGGUAGCCGGCCUGAGAGGGUGACCGGCCGCAUUGGGGCUGAGAUACGGCCCAGACUCCUACGGGAGGCAGCAGUGGGGAAUAUUGCACAAUGGGCGGAAGCCUGAUGCAGCAACGCCGCGUGCGGGAUGACGGCCUUCGGGUUGUAAACCGCUUUCGCCUGUGACGAAGCGUGAGUGACGGUAAUGGGUAAAGAAGCACCGGCUAACUACGUG
Molecule: ribosomal RNA, 468 nt
Filed under: uncultured bacterium
Lineage: Bacteria
Description: partial 16S ribosomal RNA
Rfam family: Bacterial small subunit ribosomal RNA
Source: RNAcentral